This 253-nucleotide ribosomal RNA is filed under the name uncultured bacterium. RNAcentral describes it as "partial 16S ribosomal RNA". It matches the Rfam family "Bacterial small subunit ribosomal RNA", at positions 524 to 776 of the family's 1533-position model. The record is from RNAcentral.
UACGUAGGUGGCGAGCGUUACUCGGAAUUACUAGGCGUAAAGCGCGUGUAGGCGGGAGCUUAAGUCUGCUGUUAAAUCUCACAGCCCAACUGUGAAAUGCCGGCAGAUACUGGGUUUCUUGAAUUCGGUAGAGGUGACUGGAAUUCCGUGUGUAGCGGUGAAAUGCGUAGAUAUACGGAAGAACGCCAAAGGCGAAGGCAGGUCACUGGGCCGCAAUUGACGCUGAGACGCGAAAGCUAGGGGAGCAAACAGG